UACGCAGUGCACAGCUGAUCAGUGGUCUUAGCGGACGGUCGCCGCUUGUUCGUGCUUUAAAAUAUUGGAAAACGACAGAAAAGUUACUGUUAUCCGCGUGUCUAUACGGUGGCAGUUGAAAUUUCACUUUGCAGCAAAUGAAUAAAAUCGCGACGUUUACCAAGUGUCUUUAUCGAGUGCUGGAAGUGAGCUGUUAACUGAUUCCUCGUUCGUUGGACGUUUCCAAUGGUUGCCGUCCGGAGGAAGAGGAAUCGUUUGGCAGAGUGUGACGUUCGAGCAAAGUUGUUGGAAGGUUUUCGAACCAUGGCGAAACUAGGAUGAAAGAAUCGGACAGUUGAAAGAGUAAUAAUAAAGAGUUGAAAAUUACUGGAAAUGCGUGAAAAUUGCCGUGGAAUUUACUUUUGCCCGUAUUGCCAGGAGUAGACGAAAACGGCCACGCUGUGUCUCCUGGGUAUUUCAUGACACAAAUAUCUUCCCGGCAUGUUGGAAUUCCGCUUUUCCUUUUUCGCCUGUCCCGACGAACGGCGUUCUCGCCGUCGCCCCCUCCCCCUCCUCCUCCUCCUCCUCCUCCUCCUCGGCCCGCUCUUAAAAUCCCGUCUGUGUCACCGAUAGAAACAUGCUGCGUGUCUGGUGCAAUUAAAAGAUGCUGCUCCUUUGCUGUCAGACCGAGGGGAAAGUAUAUUGGGUCCGCUGGCGAUAAGCGACAAGACCGCGAAACCGUCGUAUCCAUCGGAUCGAGUCUAACCGAGUAGUCGCUAAUAGCAGCAAGUAGAUUCCGUUUGGCAGAGGGAAGCGAGUUCGCCAGAGAUUUGCACAAUCCACGGCGGAACAAAUUCGAUUCGCUGUUACGUUUCCGCAUCGAGUACCUGCCCACACACACGUUUAUUUGCAUUUUCGUCAUUUGUGUGUCGAACGGCCGACACCGUUUGGCAGGCACUGCCAGUAGGACCAGUAAAAACUGCCUGUGACAGAUUCAGACGGAUACAGAGUGGCGCGAAAGUAACUUUGCAACUCUAAGUUUACAACUCUAAGUUUAUACCGUCGAAACGGAAAUACACUAGGUAGGCCUGCCAGGAGGAUGGGGGCCCACGAUGGGGGAGUGCCAUUGCUCUAACAUCGCUAUCAUGCAGCUGUUCCAUGAGCUGAAGCAGCAGUUCCCUGCGCUCCCUGAUCACGUCGUUUCCCAGUGCAUCGCCCAGAAUAGCCACGAUCGGGAGACAUGCGCGAGAAGCCUUCGUGCCACUCAAGAGUCACGUCAGUCUCCGGGCGCGUUCCCACCGGCGGCACUUUGCGCCAUCCUCCAGCAGCAGCAGCAGCAGCAGCAACAGCAACAGCAGCAACAUCAUCAACAUCAUCAACGAGCGAACCAUCUGGCCACGCAGCAGCAACGUUUCUGCACGAUGAGCCAGUUGCAACGCGCCAGCAACAGCACGAACAACAAUACGCGACCACACAGACCAGCCUCGCUGGACAUUGGUAUGGCACGGCGCUGUCCCGUUAGCUGUACACGAGCAGCCGCGAUAUCAGCCUCGUCGCCGAUAGCUGCCGACUCAGCCAGCACCCCUUCUUCAGCGCCUGCCGUCUGCACGACCGCGUCGCGCGGUUUCUUCGACGAUUGCACCGGACCGAGCGACGCGAACUGCCUUAACAAAGUCCAGAACGCGGGAAACGAGCCAGCCGGAUUCGAGCUGAACGUGAACGUUGCCUGCAGCCCUGCUGGCAAUCGCGACUUUCGAACGGUGCCUACGAUCGCUGGUGCCUGUAAACGAAGCGAUCUGCUGCUCGACCCACGGACUCAUUACGCCGAGCCGUUACUCAACGUGGAGAACACGGGCCCGCAGAUCGAUCACACUCGAAGCUACACCUCGGUUAGUCUGACGCUGAGGCCGCCAUCCUCGGAACCGCAGCCUCCGAUCGACAUCAGAUCUCAGGGCUCGAGCCUGACUUACUCGAGCUCCUCCCUGGAUCCCCGGGGCUUUCAAAGCCGUCUUCAGAUCAGCAUCGGCGCGGGAGCCGUUGGCGGUGUGGCGGCUGCGAGAAUCAGACCUCCGAUGGGCCCUAUCAGACCCAACAGCUUGAUACCGCCGGUACAAACCGGUCCUCAGAGACCACCAGUUGCAGGUCUUCCAGCAGGACCACCUAGUCAGUUACCGAGGCCCACGACGACAAUGAGCGCCCCAACCACACCUUCUGUACCAUCCACGACAAACAUCGCCCCCUCCAUUAGCCUUCCGACAACACCGUCAGGACCGACCACGACCUCGCCGCCCUCCAGUCCCAUUGGCGAACGAAUACCGGCCAAUUCCGAUCAGAACCGAUCGCCGUUGAAUCAAGUGGCGGAGCAUCAAAGGGAAUUGGUCGCCGAGCAGUUAGCAAGAAAAGAUAGACUCGCCAGGGAAUUGAGAGCCGAGAAAGGACGACUCGAAGCUAUGAAGAAAGAAUUGCAGUCCCUCACGAGGCCCUUUGAUUCUUCGAUGCCUCCUCAGGAACUGAAAAAGAAAUUGAGGAGCGAGAUCUAUCAGCUACAAGUUGAAUGCGACAGACUUGCGGAUGAGGUAGAUCAGUGGUCUGACCCAAGAGUACCUUUGGGCGAAACGAACGAAAAGUUUUAUCAGCGUAUUUACACGGGUCAGCCCCUACCAUCGAGAUCUGUCAGCGCCGACCCACCGCCUCUGCCGAGUCAGCCACCCGCCUGGCAACCGGAACCGAGCGGUAACAACGUUGAUAGAGAGGAACGAGACGGACCUUCUUGGGUCUGUAGAAUGUGCACCUUCGACAAUCAUCCAUUGAUGAAUAAAUGCGAACAGUGCGACAUGCCGAGGCUGUUGGAUCACGGAAACACAGGUACGACUUCUGGAAAAUCGAUAGACGACCUUACGGCCUCGUUAACACGCUUGAACAUCGAUUCGUCACCUCCGCCGCCGCCUCCAGCACCUCUGGGAAAAUAAAAUCCAGUACCUUAACAGCAUGUCCCUUUUUUACUAUGACGUUUUUGUCAAUUGACGAAUUUGUUUCGAACAAUGAUAUUUUGUGAAAUACCGGAUACGUACGGUCCUCUAUACUUGACUACUGUGAUCGAAUGUCUUACAAGAGGUGGCGUUUCUUAUUGUAAAAUAUUUGCUCGUGAGCGAGAAAAUUGUUUUACGACCACCGCAAGCAUUGAUGCGACAUCAAUAAAACAUGACUAUCCGACGCACUUAAACGUAACGCAUGGACGCCGUGUGCUAUCCUCUUCCUUCUUUUCUUUUCUUUUUUUUUUUUUUUAAAUAAACUCAAUUGAAUUAAACAUUCGAAUUGAUCUUAACCAAAGGCAUGUUUAAUUUAGCAUAUGUUACAGUGUCAUUUUUCCCUAAUUAUUAAUAGUUUAAUCUGUUUAAUCGUUUCGACGGGUCGGUAACCGUAAAUUGGCGAAACUCAAGAUAUUCAUAUACGAGUUACACAUCAUCACAACUUCUCUCCGAGCCGGAUAGUGCAUAGUUGGGUGGUAUGAUGUGAACUGCGUUAAAAACGUGAAAACUGUAUAUAAAAUCAUUAUUUAAGUUAAAUAAAAAGUAGCAGCCAACAGAUCGGGAAAGGAGAACCAGAAAUUUAAAUAACUCGAUUGACUUCAAUUUUUCGUUUAUUCAAGAGAUCAGUGUAUAACUCGAUUUUUGAUAACGAUGGAUUCAGGUGUAAGAUUGGAAUACAACGUACCGCAAAAUGUACCAUUCUCACUUCUGAUUACUAAAUAAUCAACGACUUAUCAGUAGUCUGACUUCUAUUUGUAUGAGUUUUGAAAUACUAUUUAAAAUACAAGAUAUUUGUAGUAAGUCCUUUA
Molecule: RNA transcript, 3817 nt
Organism: Bombus huntii
Lineage: Eukaryota; Metazoa; Arthropoda; Insecta; Hymenoptera; Apidae
Gene: Tab2
Gene name: TGF-beta-activated kinase 1 and MAP3K7-binding protein 3
Exons: 12
Source: RefSeq, a predicted model, not a curated record